Molecule: ribosomal RNA, 853 nt
Filed under: Escherichia coli
Lineage: Bacteria; Pseudomonadati; Pseudomonadota; Gammaproteobacteria; Enterobacterales; Enterobacteriaceae
Description: partial 23S ribosomal RNA
Rfam family: Bacterial large subunit ribosomal RNA
Source: RNAcentral
UGGAAGCGUCUGGAAAGGCGCGCGAUACAGGGUGACAGCCCCGUACACAAAAAUGCACAUACUGUGAGCUCGAUGAGUAGGGCGGGACACGUGGUAUCCUGUCUGAAUAUGGGGGGACCAUCCUCCAAGGCUAAAUACUCCUGACUGACCGAUAGUGAACCAGUACCGUGAGGGAAAGGCGAAAAGAACCCCGGCGAGGGGAGUGAAAAAGAACCUGAAACCGUGUACGUACAAGCAGUGGGAGCCUCUUAAUGGGGUGACUGCGUACCUUUUGUAUAAUGGGUCAGCGACUUAUAUUCUGUAGCAAGGUUAACCGAAUAGGGGAGCCGAAGGGAAACCGAGUCUUAACUGGGCGUUAAGUUGCAGGGUAUAGACCCGAAACCCGGUGAUCUAGCCAUGGGCAGGUUGAAGGUUGGGUAACACUAACUGGAGGACCGAACCGACUAAUGUUGAAAAAUUAGCGGAUGACUUGUGGCUGGGGGUGAAAGGCCAAUCAAACCGGGAGAUAGCUGGUUCUCCCCGAAAGCUAUUUAGGUAGCGCCUCGUGAAUUCAUCUCCGGGGGUAGAGCACUGUUUCGGCAAGGGGGUCAUCCCGACUUACCAACCCGAUGCAAACUGCGAAUACCGGAGAAUGUUAUCACGGGAGACACACGGCGGGUGCUAACGUCCGUCGUGAAGAGGGAAACAACCCAGACCGCCAGCUAAGGUCCCAAAGUCAUGGUUAAGUGGGAAACGAUGUGGGAAGGCCCAGACAGCCAGGAUGUUGGCUUAGAAGCAGCCAUCAUUUAAAGAAAGCGUAAUAGCUCACUGGUCGAGUCGGCCUGCGCGGAAGAUGUAACGGGGCUAAACCAUG